UGUGUGAAGAUGUAUUGCUGUGAUUGGUGCAAUAAAAGCUGAACGGCCACUAGCUAGGCAGGUUUUUCAAGGCAGAGGGAAU
Non-coding RNA from Peromyscus maniculatus bairdii (prairie deer mouse), 82 nucleotides. The record is from RefSeq and is a predicted model, not a curated record. Lineage: Eukaryota; Metazoa; Chordata; Mammalia; Rodentia; Cricetidae.